ACAUGAGGAUUACCCAUGU
RNAcentral lists this unclassified non-coding RNA (19 nucleotides) under Escherichia phage MS2. Its description in RNAcentral is "5'-R(*AP*CP*AP*UP*GP*AP*GP*GP*AP*U ONEP *AP*CP*CP*CP*AP*UP*GP*U)-3' from Escherichia phage MS2 (PDB 2IZ9, chain S)". The record is from RNAcentral. RNAcentral also lists the same sequence under 1 other name. Lineage: Riboviria; Orthornavirae; Lenarviricota; Leviviricetes; Norzivirales; Fiersviridae.